Molecule: long non-coding RNA, 1105 nt
Organism: Brassica napus (rape)
Lineage: Eukaryota; Viridiplantae; Streptophyta; Magnoliopsida; Brassicales; Brassicaceae
Exons: 3
Source: RefSeq, a predicted model, not a curated record
AACAUGCAUAUAUUUGGAUCAUUUCUUAGAUUCAAGAAAAUGGAAAAAAAAACAAGGGGAAUUGCCGCUAAUACCACUUUUCUAAUACCACUUUUCAACAUUACACUUUUCAAAUUUACCAUUAAAAUUUUAAUGGCUAAAGUACCAUUAUACCCCUCAUUUCAUUAAUUUAACCUAGAUCUAUUCUUCUCCAAAUGUCUGUCACGAGAUGAAAAUGAGAUCAAAUUGAGACGAGCUCCAACGAGAUCUCCGGCAAACUCGGUGAUCUCCGGCGAAUUCGGCGAUCUCCGGCGAACUUGGCGAUCUCCGGCGAACUCGACGAUCUCCGACGAACUCGACCGGAUUGGGAGAGCGUGGCGGCGAGUGGACAUCCCGCCGUUCCUCCGCCGGCAUUAUGUAGUCGUAGUAAUCCUCUGAUGCUAAAUCGGUCACGUUCGUCACGAAUCGCAUGCCGAGAAGUUCUCCGGCAAAGCUGACAGACCCGACAAGCUCAGACGAACGAGACGAUCUCUCUCCCAACGCCUAAGAAACACUAACAAAGAGAAUUACAAAUGUGUGUUGUCAGCUUUUGGAUUUAAAGGAUGUUGUGGAGAAUAUGUGUGGUGAUAUGCAUAUCUAAGUAUCUCACUUCCUUAAGAAGCAGUGGAGAUGAAUGAUGAGUUUGUUGAGUUACGAAAGCAUACUAUUUUUGAAUCUUAUUUUUGGAAGUGAAUGCUGAUGCGUAGAAAUAAUAUGUGACUGGCUUUUGUUCAGAUUUUGAAAAUUUACGAGGUUGGUGAGCUGUUUGAAGAGGCAAGAGAGACUCUGAAGAAGAAUGUGGUUUGUGCUAUCAAAGAAUUACGUAUUUAUAACGCUUUAUAAAAGUUGCAGAGUUGGCUUCUUAGUAUAUUCUUUUCUCUCAUCUUAUUUAGACAUCUCUUAUACUAAAACAAUUGUAUCUCUCUUUUAGUAGUUGCAUAGUUGAAGAUAUUAGUUGGACAUGUAAGUGAGUUUGGUUUCAAUUGUUUCUUUUAUAGAAGAGUGAGAUAUGGAGAAGCCUUGAUAUUCUCAGACUAUGUUAAAGCAAUAUAUCCCUUGUUGAAGGACGUGGCUCUUUCACCAGAUA